Cottoperca gobio is the source of this 572-nucleotide long non-coding RNA. RefSeq lists it as uncharacterized. The record is from RefSeq and is a predicted model, not a curated record. NCBI's taxonomy places the organism in Eukaryota, Metazoa, Chordata, Actinopteri, Perciformes, Bovichtidae. The transcript has 2 exons.
UAGUAUCUCCUCCUCCCUAUGGAUGACGUUUGGAAAGUGAAAGUAUUUAUUUUCUGUUGGCAAAUCGCAGUUCUGGUGAGGGACUAGAGAGGUCAUCAUCAUCUGAGAGUGAUUAUCUGAAUCCUUCCUCAAACCUCUUUCAUUAGUAUGUUUUGGUCAUGUACUUACAUGGCAUCAUACAUUGGCGGCUUGAUUGUAGCUACGUAAUUCAAUUUCAAAAUCAAUGCAAUUAUAAUCAGUUACAGUUGCUGAAAAAAAGAGUUAUUAAUUUACAGCUAACGAUCAAAACGUUGGUCUGCACCACCUGUAAGACGGUUGCAAGGCGUCGGUCCAAAGCUGAGAGAUGCGGUUCAGAGAGGAGGGGGGCAACGCCGGCCAGAGGAUCCUGGAACAGCGACUCCCGCAUGACAUCACUCAGACGGAAGCCAGGGAGGGACAAGAGAGUCAAGCGGAGGACGGUGGAGCGACGGAUCCUACAAAUGUGGGGGGAGAGGAAUAGAAAUAUUGAAACCCACAUAAGCCAGAAUUUUUCAAGAGCAUUAAAGUUUCCUCACCCUCUCUGGUUCUUUUAA